This 317-nucleotide ribosomal RNA is filed under the name uncultured Paludibacter sp. RNAcentral's name for it is "bacterial SSU rRNA". It matches the Rfam family "Bacterial small subunit ribosomal RNA", at positions 28 to 339 of the family's 1533-position model. Lineage: Bacteria; Pseudomonadati; Bacteroidota; Bacteroidia; Bacteroidales; Paludibacteraceae. The record is from RNAcentral.
GAUGAACGCUAGCUACAGGCUUAACACAUGCAAGUCGAGGGGCAGCAUGAACUUAGCUUGCUAAGUUUGAUGGCGACCGGCGCACGGGUGCGUAACAGGUGUGCAAUCUGUCCAUAGUCGGGGAAUAGCCCAGCGAAAGUUGGAUUAAAGCUCCAUGUGAGCGAGUGCCGCAUGACACACGCUUGAAACGAAAGGACUAUGGGUGAGCACGCUUCUGAUUAGGUAGUUGGUGAGGUAACGGCUCACCAAGCCGACGAUCAGUAGGGGUUCUGAGAGGAAGGUCCCCCACAUUGGAACUGAGACACGGUCCAAACUCC